RNAcentral lists this ribosomal RNA (497 nucleotides) under uncultured bacterium. Its description in RNAcentral is "partial 16S ribosomal RNA". It matches the Rfam family "Bacterial small subunit ribosomal RNA", at positions 28 to 507 of the family's 1533-position model. The record is from RNAcentral.
GAUGAACGCUGGCGGCGUGCCUAAUACAUGCAAGUCGAGCGAACAGAUAAGGAGCUUGCUCCUUUGACGUUAGCGGCGGACGGGUGAGUAACACGUGGGUAACCUACCUAUAAGACUGGGAUAACUUCGGGAAACCGGAGCUAAUACCGGAUAAUAUUUCGAACCGCAUGGUUCGAUAGUGAAAGAUGGUUUUGCUAUCACUUAUAGAUGGACCCGCGCCGUAUUAGCUAGUUGGUAAGGUAACGGCUUACCAAGGCGACGAUACGUAGCCGACCUAAGAGGGUGAUCGGCCACACUGGAACUGAGACACGGUCCAGACUCCUACGGGAGGCAGCAGUAGGGAAUCUUCCGCAAUGGGCGAAAGCCUGACGGAGCAACGCCGCGUGAGUGAUGAAGGUCUUCGGAUCGUAAAACUCUGUUAUUAGGGAAGAACAUACGUGUAAGUAACUGUGCACGUCUUGACGGUACCUAAUCAGAAAGCCACGGCUAACUACGUG